Molecule: ribosomal RNA, 301 nt
Filed under: uncultured bacterium
Lineage: Bacteria
Description: partial 16S ribosomal RNA
Rfam family: Bacterial small subunit ribosomal RNA
Source: RNAcentral
CAGUCGCCACGGGAAUACGGAGGGGGCUAGCGUUGUUCGGAAUUACUGGGCGCAAAGCGCACGUAGGCGGCUUUGUAAGUCAGAGGUGAAAGCCUGGAGCUCAACUCCAGAACUGCCUUUGAGACUGCAUCGCUUGAAUCCAGGAGAGGUCAGUGGAAUUCCGAGUGUAGAGGUGAAAUUCGUAGAUAUUCGGAAGAGCACCAGUGGCGAAGGCGGCUGACUGAACUGGUAUUGACGCUGAGGUGUGAAAGCGUGGGGAGCAAACAGGAUUAGAUACCCGGGUAGUCCCUGUCUCUUAUAA